This 21-nucleotide non-coding RNA is filed under the name Caenorhabditis elegans. Lineage: Eukaryota; Metazoa; Nematoda; Chromadorea; Rhabditida; Rhabditidae. The record is from RNAcentral.
UUUUACAAUUAGAUUGCUCAA